ACUGCCCGUACCGCAAACCGACACAGGUAGAUGAGGAGAGAAUCCUAAGGUGAGCGAGAGAACUCUCGUUAAGGAACUCGGCAAAAUGACCCCGUAACUUCGGGAGAAGGGGUGCUCUAUUAGGGUGCAAGCCCGAGAGAGCCGCAGUGAAUAGGCCCAGGCGACUGUUUAGCAAAAACACAGGUCUCUGCAAAACCGUAAGGUGACGUAUAGGGGCUGACGCCUGCCCGGUGCUGGAAGGUUAAGAGGAGUGCUUAGCUUCGGCGAAGGUACGAAUUGAAGCCCCAGUAAACGGCGGCCGUAACUAUAACGGUCCUAAGGUAGCGAAAUUCCUUGUCGGGUAAGUUCCGACCCGCACGAAAGGCGCAACGAUCUGGGCACUGUCUCAACGAGAGACUCGGUGAAAUUAUAGUACCUGUGAAGAUGCAGGUUACCCGCGACAGGACGGAAAGACCCCGUGGAGCUUUACUGCAACCUGAUAUGGAAUGUUUGUACCGCUUGUACAGGAUAGGUAGGAGCCGAAGAGACGUGUGCGCUAGCAUACGAGGAGGCAAUGGUGGGAUACUACCCUGGCUGUAUG
Molecule: ribosomal RNA, 580 nt
Filed under: Listeria innocua
Lineage: Bacteria; Bacillati; Bacillota; Bacilli; Caryophanales; Listeriaceae
Description: partial 23S ribosomal RNA
Rfam family: Bacterial large subunit ribosomal RNA
Source: RNAcentral